This 253-nucleotide ribosomal RNA is filed under the name uncultured bacterium. Its description in RNAcentral is "partial 16S ribosomal RNA". It matches the Rfam family "Bacterial small subunit ribosomal RNA", at positions 524 to 776 of the family's 1533-position model. The record is from RNAcentral.
UACGAAGGGUGCAAGCGUUACUCGGAAUUACUGGGCGUAAAGCGUGCGUAGGUGGUUUGUUAAGUCUGAUGUGAAAGCCCUGGGCUCAACCCGGGAACGGCAUUGGAAACUGGCUUACUAGAGUGCGGUAGAGGGGUGUGGAAUUCCCGGUGUAGCAGUGAAAUGCGUAGAUAUCGGGAGGAACAUCUGUGGCGAAGGCGACACCCUGGACCAGCACUGACGCUGAGGCACGAAAGCGUGGGGAGCAAACAGG